Molecule: ribosomal RNA, 446 nt
Filed under: uncultured bacterium
Lineage: Bacteria
Description: partial 16S ribosomal RNA
Rfam family: Bacterial small subunit ribosomal RNA
Source: RNAcentral
CCUACGGGUGGCAGCAGUCGAGAAUCAUUCACAAUGGGGGAAACCCUGAUGGUGCGACGCCGCGUGGGGGAAUGAAGGUCUUCGGAUUGUAAACCCCUGUCAUGUGGGAGCAAAUUAAAAAGAUAGUACCACAAGAGGAAGAGACGGCUAACUCUGUGCCAGCAGCCGCGGUAAUACAGAGGUCUCAAGCGUUGUUCGGAAUCACUGGGCGUAAAGCGUGCGUAGGCUGUUUCGUAAGUCGUGUGUGAAAGGCGCGGGCUCAACCCGCGGACGGCAUAUGAUACUGCGAGACUAGAGUAAUGGAGGGGGAACCGGAAUUCUCGGUGUAGCAGUGAAAUGCGUAGAUAUCGAGAGGAACACUCGUGGCGAAGGCGGGUUGCUGGACAUUAACUGACGCUGAGGCACGAAGGCCAGGGGAGCGAAAGGGAUUAGAUACCCCAGUAGUC